RNAcentral lists this ribosomal RNA (848 nucleotides) under uncultured bacterium. RNAcentral's name for it is "bacterial SSU rRNA". It matches the Rfam family "Bacterial small subunit ribosomal RNA", at positions 622 to 1482 of the family's 1533-position model. The record is from RNAcentral.
UGCCAUUGAUACUGAUAGCCUUGAGUUUGGUUAAGGUAGGCGGAAUGUGUAAUGUAGCGGUGAAAUGCUUAGAUAUUACACAGAACACCAAUUGCGUAGGCAGCUUACUGAGCCGACACUGACGCUGAGGCACGAAAGCGUGGGGAUCGAACAGGAUUAGAUACCCUGGUAGUCCACGCCGUAAACGAUGAUUACUCGCUGUUGGCGAUACACUGUCAGCGGCUAAGCAAAAGCAAUAAGUAAUCCACCUGGGGAGUACGGCCGCAAGGUUGAAACUCAAAGGAAUUGACGGGGGCCCGCACAAGCGGAGGAACAUGUGGUUUAAUUCGAUGAUACGCGAGGAACCUUACCUGGGCUUAAAUGUAGAGUGCAUUUUCUAGAGAUAGGAAUUCCCUUCGGGGCUUUCUGCAAGGUGCUGCAUGGUUGUCGUCAGCUCGUGCCGUGAGGUGUCGGGUUAAGUCCCAUAACGAGCGCAACCCUUAUCGUUAGUUGCCAUCUGGUAAUGCAGGGGACUCUAGCGGAACUGCCACCGUAAGGUGAGAGGAAGGUGGGGAUGACGUCAAAUCAGCACGGCCCUUAUGUCCAGGGCUACACACGUGUUACAAUGGCCGGUACAGAGGGCAGCUACCUGGUGACAGGAUGCUAAUCUCGAAAACCGGUCUCAGUUCGGAUCGAAGUCUGCAACUCGACUUCGUGAAGCUGGAUUCGCUAGUAAUCGCGCAUCAGCCAUGGCGCGGUGAAUACGUUCCCGGGCCUUGUACACACCGCCCGUCAAGCCAUGGAAGCUGGGGGUGCCUGAAGUCCGUAACCGAAAGGAGCGGCCUAGGGUAAAACUAGUGACUGGGGCU